Molecule: long non-coding RNA, 5350 nt
Filed under: Citrus sinensis (sweet orange)
Lineage: Eukaryota; Viridiplantae; Streptophyta; Magnoliopsida; Sapindales; Rutaceae
Description: long non-coding RNA (CSIN_LNC001170)
Source: RNAcentral
GUUCUAACAGAAAUAUAAUUGACUAUGCAGAUAUAGUUAUUUUAUGGUAUACAAAUCAUGUUGCCUUAAUCUCAAUGUCCUAUGACCUAUUUUAUUUUAUAUAGUCGUUCAUUUUUGCCAUCGCUUUUUGUGUUUAUGAGUAUGGAAGUAGUGGGAUUUGGUGUAUCUUAGCAUCUUUGGAAAAUUCUCUUUAAAUGUGGCAAACAAAAAUAUACAUAUAAUCAAGUUUCUUAAUCAACUAUCAUAACUGGCUAGCUAGUUCUUGCCUGCCUUGCUGCCAUUACCCAGGCCAUUACAUUGCAUAGCAUAAGGAAUAGUGAUUAGGUGCUUAUUAGUGAUUCGUUGAGCUUAUUAUUGACAAACCAACAUAUUCGCCUUUACCCACAACUUAGUUUGAUUAGUUAUUGUUGUGUAAUAGACCAAGUUCGUAACCCAACUGAAGCAAUUAAUCAGAUUUACAAAACAAGCAAGAACCCAGAAAACGAACCAGGGGAUACAGUCAAGUAACCAAGAACAAGAAAGAAAACUUAAUCAAGAGAUACAAAACAGAGGUUAACGUGGUUCAGUACCAUGAGUACUUACAUCCACGAUCAGGAACAGUAGAGCUAAAGCUUUAUUAGGAGAUAUCAAGAUUACAAUGGAAUCCACUCAGAGCAAGAAACUAAACUCACACAGAGAAUCUUUCUCAACUCACAAACUAUCUCACUUGACUAACUGAUCAGCUCUCUCUCUCACUGAAGCUAUAAAGCUAGCAGUUUACAGCUGGUUAUAACGACUAACUAAAACCACCUGGGGACCCACCCAUGCUGACUCAGCUUUCCAGCUCAGCUAAUAUAUAUAACCGAAUGUAACUAACUUGAUUCCACAAAUCUCCACCUUAGUUAACUCGGUUAUGGCUUUACUCAUCACUGCUCCAUCACCAGUUAACUUGUCUCACAAGUUAAUAACCCCAAUCAAGUCCAAGGAGUUCCUGAACUUAACUGUUGGCAAAGGUUUUGUUAGCAUGUCUGCUGGAUUUACUUCAGUAGGAAUUUUAAUGACAUUGAUUACACCAUUUCGAAUUUCUUCCCUGAUAAAGUGCAUCCUCACAUCCACAUGUUUUGUUCUUUCAUGGUACUUGGGGUUUUUGCUCAACUGUAUAGCACUUGAGCUAUCACAAUUGACAGUGACUGAUUCUUGUUCCAAACCCAGUUUUGUAACUAACCCCUUCAACCAUAAUGCUUCUUUCACAGCCUCUGUUAAAGCAAUAUACUCUACCUCUGUUGUUGAGAGAGCAAUUACUGAUUGUAAUGUUGACUUCCAGCUCACAGCUCCACCACAGAGAGUAAACACAAGACCAGUGACUGACCUUCUCCUAUCUAAAUCUCCUGCAAAGUCAGAAUCAACAGAUCCCACAACUUGGCUAGAUGCAUUACUAACUUGUCCAAACAUUACUCCAUACUCUUCAGUACUUUUAAGAUACCUUAGUAGCCAUUUAACAGCUUCCCAAUGUUCCUUGUCUGGAUUCCCCAUGAACCUGCUGACAAGACCAAUUCCAUAGGCAACAUCUGGUCUGGUACAGACCAUAGCAUACAUAAUGCUACCAACUGCACUGGAGUAGGAAUUCUCCUCAUGAGAUCAAUGUCUGCUUCUUCUCCUGGUUCCUGCUGUUUAGAAAGUUUGAAGUGUGCUGCUACUGGGGUAGUGACAGGCUUUGAGUUCACCAUCCCAAAUCUACUGACAACCUUUUUCAAAUAUCCAGAUUGUGUGAGAAAUAGAGUCUUGGCAUGUCUGUCCCUUUUGAUUUGCAUUCCCAGUAUCUUAGCAGCAGGACCCAAAUCCUUUAUUUCAAACACUGCCAUUAGCUCAGUGGGUGAGGAUAUUUCUUUACAGAAGGUAUUGGAAACUGUUUUUUACAUUAAUUAUUGUUGUAUAUAUACUUUAAUUUUCACAUCUUUUUCUCUGAUUCUUGUCACUUUACUUGCUUUCAUAUACAUAAAUUCUAAUGAAAUUAACCAUAAAAUUGUAUAAUGAUUUUGGGGCCAUAUCAUAAUUUUAGAAAGUUUGGGAAAGACGACUAUUCUUAGGAAGUUCUGAAAUUGGAUCUAUUUGUAAAGUUUUAUGACAUUUUGAGCCAUAGUAUAAUUAUAGAAAGUUUUGGGUCAAAGUAUAAAUUUAGUGAACAGAGUUACUGUAGCAAAUUCAAAAAUAACGGUAAUAUCACUGUUCCUGAGCGGCUAGCCGGAUAAUCAAGCGGCUAACCGCUUGGGCGCGGGAAUUUACCUAUAACGGCUAGUUUUCGGGCUUUCACUAUUAAAACUCAACUCAAACUUCAUUCCUUAAACGAAUGCAAGGAAAAACAAGAUCAUAUAACAUAUAUUGAGCUUCCAUUUCGCAAAUCAUCAUUGAUUGAAUGAUCAUUGAGCUAUAAUUUGUUAUCUACUCUUAAAGAGAGUUUCAUUGUUGUGAUUUUCAUUUCUCAUCAAAUUGUGAGUGUACAAGUGUGAGAAACAGCCUUUAUUUGGGUGGUGUUAGAACUUUUAGUUUUUAAAUUUAUAAAACAUUAAAAAUUAGCUUUUAGUUUUUAAAAUCACUUUUGAGCUUCCCAAAAACAAUCCUAACAUGCCUUUAUUUGGGUGGUGUUAGAACUUUUAGUUUUUAAAUUUAUAAAACAUUAAAAAUUAGCUUUUAGUUUUUAAAAUCACUUUUGAGCUUCCCAAAAACAAUCCUAACAUGCCUUUAUUUGGGUGGUGUUAGAACUUUUAGUUUUUAAAUUUAUAAAACAUUAAAAAUUAGCUUUUAGUUUUUAAAAUCACUUUUGAGCUUCCCAAAAACAAUCCUAACAUGCCUUUAUUUGGGUGGUGUUAGAACUUGUAACUUUUGGAUCUUUUAGUUUUUAUUGGUUGGAUACAAUAUUGUGACUUGAGCGUCGGAGGGUUUUCACCGGAAAAACUUCUAGCGCCCCCUGACUGUUCUUUGUGCUUGCAUGCUCGCGGGUUAUCUGCUCAUGGAUCAUCUGCUCAUAGAACAUCUGCUCACGGUGCUCACUGAUCAGCAGCUCGUGGAUUAUCUGCUCAUGGUGCUCACUAAUCAGCAGCUCAUAGAUUAUCGGCUCAUGAAUUAUCUGCUCAUGGUUAGAGGAUUUUCUUGAAGAUUAAUAAGCCGCUUCUUCACCAAACAAAUUUAUUGUUGAUGCGGGGAUGUGGUUUUGAGUCAACAACCAACUCAACCAGAUUUCUGCAUCAACAUAAAGUAUUAAUCAGCUUAAUUAAUUUAUAAAAUUUAAAUCUAAUUAAUAAGUGACACAUAAAUGCCAAGUGCAAUAUAUGCAAAUCCUGUUUGUCGAUCAUUACAAAACUGGCUCUUGAAAACAAGCAAGAAAGCUUAAUUAAGAACUUAAAACAAAAAGUAUUAGAUUGAGGAUAGUCAAGCCUUAUUUUUUCAAGGAUGGAGCUUAUAAAUCUUCAAGUACCAACAUAUGCUUGGCCCAAUUGUUGUUUUUAAAAUUUCAAAAUAUAAGUAUGACAUAGCAAAAAUUUGAUGGUACAUGUGUCGGAAUAUACUAGCUAGUUCAUGGAUGCAUUUGAUUACUAUUUCCAUAAAUUUGAACUAAGAAGAAUGACACGAGAAAAUUUGAUUUUAUUAUAUGGUUGAUUUCAUAUCUCAUGCACUCAUUUCUUAAGAUAAUUAGAUUUUCUCUGGCAUCUUUUGCAAAUGUGGAAAUAUCAAUUAUGAUCAAUCAAAACGAUCUCAAAACUUUUUAACGAGACAUAUUUAUAAUACAAUAUUAUGAAAAUUACACCAAAAAUUUGAUUUAUUAUAUAUUAUUAUCCAACGAGCACACAAAAAUGAAUUCAUACAAAUCUAUAAUACUUAGCAAUUUUCAAAUAGAAUUUACCAUGUACUAUAAGAAAAUAUGGUAUAUGUGACCCCUAUUGUGAAUGCAAAAGCAGCCAUUACGUAUAUCACUAACUUCUAACUUUGUAACCCUGAGUUGCUUUUGUUACCCUUUAUGUGACGGCCAUACUGCUGUCACAUAUGUUACUAACCACGUGACGGUAAAGAGCCGUUCCGUAUACUACUAUUUUAGAAUUUUAAAUUUAUUUCCAGUUGGAAAACUAUUCGCUGGAUUACGAGUUUAAAUGCUGUUUAUUGUCAAUUUUUGUCUCGCCAGCAAUUGUUUUUAUUCCUACAAGUUGAAGCCCCUGUGUUCUUGUUCCAUUGGUGUGUUUGCUCACUCAAAUUAAUUUUGUUCUACAAAGUUCAAAUGGAUUCAUUUGAAUCACUAUUGAAUUCAGCUUUAAUUCCAACAACCAUUCUAAUGUUUUGUUAUUAGAUUUACUUUAAUUUUAUGUUUAAAGCUUCUACAAUGAAUAGCGGAGCUUGGGUUUUAGUUUCAUUUUCUAGAUAACUUGUUUAUCUUGUAUGCUCACCAAGUGCAUGUUAUAUUGUCUGAUAAGUUAUAUAUAUUGCUGAUUCUAUAUUAAUAAUGUUACGUUCUAUUUUCAGAAAUUAUAAUAUAAACUGAAUUAACUUGUAGAAUAAGAGCUUGGAGUAGUGUUAUGUUCUUGAAUAAAUGAAAGUCCAUAUUGUGUAAGAGCAUGUAGAUGUAAAGCGUCAUUGCCAUUUCUAUAAAGGUUCUGUUCAGAUGCUCCUCUUGAACUCUGAAAGGUGCCUCAUUCAAGUCCUAGCUAUAACUACUAGCUUUGAUUAAUUAAUUUCCUGUACUAGCAGAAACAGAUUUAUUUAUUUAAAUAAUUGUCUAUGUACUAAUUAUAAUGAAAGUAUAUGAAGAAAUUUUUUAACAUGAAUGACUUCUAAAUGACUUAAAAACCUAAAGGAUAUGAGAAAUAAUGCUCAUUUCACUUGAACGAGCCUAUUAAUACUUGUAUGUCUAUGAUUGUUAAUAUUGGCUUAAGCAUUUCAGUUAAAUGGUUUACAUAACAGGGAAAAAAAUUUAAAUGAAAACUUUAGAGUUCUAACAGAAAUAUAAUUGACUAUGCAGAUAUAGUUAUUUUAUGGUAUACAAAUCAUGUUGCCUUAAUCUCAAUGUCCUAUGACCUAUUUUAUUUUAUAUAGUCAGGUUGAAAAGUCACAGGAUUGUGCCUUAAGUAUUUUUUUUUUUUUUUCACUUUUUGAUUUGGUGCCUCGAGUAAUUGAAAAGCCACGAAAAAUUAAUAGUUCAACCCGUGAUUGGUUUGGCUGGAAAUUGUACCCUUUUGUUAGAUCCUUGUUUUGUUAAUCAAAGAAUUUUACCUCAGGUAGAAAAAAAAAAAAAAAGAUGCCUUUGUUGUUGCUAAAGAGUUAAUAAAUAAAUACAGUACUGAAUUAUCAACCUUAGAAAACCUCCAUUAUACAUUUCUGAAUCACG